Xiphophorus couchianus (Monterrey platyfish) is the source of this 416-nucleotide long non-coding RNA. RefSeq lists it as uncharacterized. The transcript is spliced from 3 exons. Lineage: Eukaryota; Metazoa; Chordata; Actinopteri; Cyprinodontiformes; Poeciliidae. The record is from RefSeq and is a predicted model, not a curated record.
UCGCUCCUCCGAGUCCAGAAGCCCUUGAGCUAUCAGCUCCUCCUUGAUCCGCGCCUCCAGGGAACGUGUGUGAGGAACACUGGGAGCAAAGAAACCGGCAGGAAACUGUCACUACCAGGGGGUUUUAAGAAAAAUCCUCUAAGCUUUAGGAGUCACAUGAAUCAUCAGAGUAGAAAACCUGGAUCUGACCUCUACAAGGGCCUGAAGCAGACGCUGAGUGAGCGGACCAAAGGGACAACCGUCUUCUGGUGAUUCGUGCUGAGAUUCGGAUUUCUUCAGCACAUCCAGUUCUGACAGCGGCCCUCCCAUGAUGCUCUUCUUCUUGUCGUUGGCUCGUGCCCCUUCCCUCUGCUCCUCCAGCAGGUCUUCUUGAGCCCACCGCUGGGAAUAGUGUUUCCCCAACGCAGGAAUCUACA